AGCUCAGUGGUAGAGUACUUGCCUUGCAUGCAUGAGGCCCUGGGUUCGAUUCCUCAG
Molecule: transfer RNA, 57 nt
Filed under: Dipodomys ordii (Ord's kangaroo rat)
Lineage: Eukaryota; Metazoa; Chordata; Mammalia; Rodentia; Heteromyidae
Rfam family: tRNA
About the family: Transfer RNA (tRNA) molecules are approximately 80 nucleotides in length. Their secondary structure includes four short double-helical elements and three loops (D, anti-codon, and T loops). Further hydrogen bonds mediate the characteristic L-shaped molecular structure. tRNAs have two regions of fundamental functional importance: the anti-codon, which is responsible for specific mRNA codon recognition, and the 3' end, to which the tRNAs corresponding amino acid is attached (by aminoacyl-tRNA synthetases). tRNAs cope with the degeneracy of the genetic code in two manners: having more than one tRNA (with a specific anti-codon) for a particular amino acid; and 'wobble' base-pairing, i.e. permitting non-standard base-pairing at the 3rd anti-codon position.
Source: Rfam by way of RNAcentral